UACGUAGGGUGCAAGCGUUAAUCGGAAUUACUGGGCGUAAAGCGUGCGCAGGCGGUUAUGCAAGACAGAUGUGAAAUCCCCGGGCUUAGCCUGGGAACCGCAUUUGUGACUGCAUAGCUGGAGUACGGCAGAGGGGGAUGGAAUUCCGCGUGUAGCAGUGAAAUGCGUAGAUAUGCGGAGGAACACCGAUGGCGAAGGCAGUCCCCUGGGCCUGUACUGACGCUCAUGCACGAAAGCGUGGGGAGCAAACAGG
This 253-nucleotide ribosomal RNA is filed under the name uncultured bacterium. RNAcentral describes it as "partial 16S ribosomal RNA". It matches the Rfam family "Bacterial small subunit ribosomal RNA", at positions 524 to 776 of the family's 1533-position model. The record is from RNAcentral.